This 1095-nucleotide ribosomal RNA is filed under the name uncultured bacterium. RNAcentral's name for it is "bacterial SSU rRNA". It matches the Rfam family "Bacterial small subunit ribosomal RNA", at positions 56 to 1134 of the family's 1533-position model. The record is from RNAcentral.
UGCAGUCGACGCGAAGUGGAGCAAUCCAUGAGUAGAGUGGCAAACGGGUGAGUAACACGUGGGCGACCUACCUUUGAGUGGGGGAUAACCUUCCGAAAGGAGGGCUAAUACCGCAUGACAUUCUGUGUUUGGAUACACGGAAAUCAAAGCCGGGGAUCGUAAGACCUGGCGCUUGGAGAGGGGCCCGCGUCCGAUUAGCUAGUUGGUGAGGUAACGGCUCACCAAGGCUCCGAUCGGUAUCCGGCCUGAGAGGGCGGACGGACACACUGGAACUGAGACACGGUCCAGACUCCUACGGGAGGCAGCAGUGGGGAAUUGUUCGCAAUGGGCGAAAGCCUGACGACGCAACGCCGCGUGGAGGAUGAAGAAUUUCGGUUCGUAAACUCCUUUCGACCGAGAUGAACACCUCGCGAUCUAAUACAUCGCGGGGCUGACAGUAUCGAGAGAAGAAGCCCCGGCUAACUCUGUGCCAGCAGCCGCGGUAAUACAGGGGGGGCAGGCGUUGUUCGGAAUUACUGGGCGUAAAGGGUUCGUAGGUGGCCGACUAAGUCAGACGUGAAAUCCCUCAGCUUAACUGGGGAACCGCGUCUGAUACUGGUUGGCUUGAGUGCAGGAGAGGAACGCGGAAUUCCAGGUGUAGCGGUGAAAUGCGUAGAUAUCUGGAGGAACACCGGUGGCGAAGGCGGCGUUCUGGACUGCAACUGACACUGAGGAACGAAAGCCAGGGGAGCAAACGGGAUUAGAUACCCCGGUAGUCCUGGCCCUAAACGAUGAAUGCUUGGUGUGGCGGGUAUCGAUCCCUGCCGUGCCGAAGUUAACGCAUUAAGCAUUCCGCCUGGGGAGUACGGUCGCAAGGCUGAAACUCAAAGGAAUUGACGGGGGCCCGCACAAGCGGUGGAGCAUGUGGUUUAAUUCGACGCAACGCGAAGAACCUUACCCAGGCUCGAAAUGCAGAUGACCAUCGGCGAAAGUCGACUCCCGCAAGGGCAUCUGUAUAGGUGCUGCAUGGCUGUCGUCAGCUCGUGUCGUGAAAUGUUGGGUUAAGUCCCGCAACGAGCGCAACCCUUGUUUCCUGUUGCCUCCCGUAAUGGUGGG